GAGCUUGCUGGGAUAAAACGAGAACUGCUAAUUACUCGUAACCAUGGUUCAACUCCAUGGCUUGCUCG
RNAcentral lists this transfer RNA (68 nucleotides) under Dyscophus antongilii (tomato frog). RNAcentral describes it as "tRNA-Ser". Lineage: Eukaryota; Metazoa; Chordata; Amphibia; Anura; Microhylidae. The record is from RNAcentral.